UGAUUGGAUCUGGUCCCAUGCCCUGAGAGAUGCAGCGGAGAGCGAGUCGGUCCCAUGAGGCAUGUUUGCAUCAGGAUUAAAAGUCCUCACAGUGGAGCUGAUUAAUAGAUUUUUUUGGCCAAGAGGCAUGCAGGAUCUUAGCUCCCCCACCAGGGAUGGAACCUGCACCCCCUGCAUUGGAAGGCGAAGUCUUAACCACUGGACCACCAGGGAAGUCCCCUAUGAUUCCUUGUUUCAUCAGCUGCUACCCCACUGGUUUUUAAGGACUUGAGGAUAUUUUAAAAUGACAGCACUGGACUUCCCUGGUGGCUCAGUGGUUAAGAACCCGCCUGCCAGUGCAGAGGACACAGGUUUGAGCCCUGCUCCUGGAAGAUCGCACAUGCCUCGGAGCAACUAAGCCCAUGUGCCACAACUAUUGAAGCCUGUGCUCCACAACAAGAGAAGCCACCGCAAUGAGAAGCCCAUGCACUGCAAGGAAGAGUAGCCCCUGCUCUCUGCAGCUAGAGAAAGCCCAUAUGCAGCAACGAAGACCCAACA
This is a long non-coding RNA of Hippopotamus amphibius kiboko, 537 nucleotides long. RefSeq lists it as uncharacterized. The record is from RefSeq and is a predicted model, not a curated record. NCBI's taxonomy places the organism in Eukaryota, Metazoa, Chordata, Mammalia, Artiodactyla, Hippopotamidae. The transcript has 3 exons.